GGCCGGAUUUGCCAAUAGGCAACAUAGGCCAUUGGCCUAGGGCCCACUGGUAACUGAGGGCCCACUGGGGUCCUGGGGACUUAAGUUGUGGUGGCCCAAUGAGAGAGAGAGAGAGAGAGAGAGAGAGAGAGAGAGAGAAUAA
Molecule: long non-coding RNA, 142 nt
Organism: Eriocheir sinensis (Chinese mitten crab)
Lineage: Eukaryota; Metazoa; Arthropoda; Malacostraca; Decapoda; Varunidae
Exons: 2
Source: RefSeq, a predicted model, not a curated record